CACACGACUCUCGGCAACGGAUAUCUCGGCUCUCGCAUCGAUGAAGAACGUAGCAAAAUGCGAUACCUGGUGUGAAUUGCAGAAUCCCGUGAACCAUCGAGUUUUUGAACGCAAGUUGCGCCCGAGGCCUUCUGGCUGAGGGCACGCCUGCCUGGGCGUCACGC
This 164-nucleotide ribosomal RNA is filed under the name Cenchrus americanus (pearl millet). Its description in RNAcentral is "5.8S ribosomal RNA". It matches the Rfam family "5.8S ribosomal RNA". Rfam says of the family: 5.8S ribosomal RNA (5.8S rRNA) is a component of the large subunit of the eukaryotic ribosome. The record is from RNAcentral. Lineage: Eukaryota; Viridiplantae; Streptophyta; Magnoliopsida; Poales; Poaceae. RNAcentral also lists the same sequence under 2 other names.